UGAAUACGAGAUGCUACGGCGUCGAAGCAGUCUAUGUCAUACUUCCAAGAAAAGCUUGCACUGUCAUAAACAAAUAAUGCCUGUACCAUAACCGACACAGGUGGGUAGGUAGAGUAUACUAAGGGGCGCGAGAUAACUCUCUCUAAGGAACUCGGCAAAAUGACUCCGUAACUUCGGGAGAAGGAGUGCCUUAUUUUAUAAGGUUGCAAUAACAAGAUCCAAGCAACUGUUUACCAAAAACACAGGUCUCCGCUAAGUCGUAAGACGAUGUAUGGGGGCUGACGCCUGCCCAGUGCCAGAAGGUUAAAGAAGUUGGUUAGCAUCCGCGAAGCUGAUAACUGAAGCCCUGGUGAACGGCGGCCGUAAUAAUAACGGUCCUAAGGUAGCGAAAUUCCUUGUCGGGUAAGUUCCGACCCGCACGAAAGGCGUAAUGAUUUGGAUACUGUCUCAGAGAGGGGCUCGGUGAAAUAGACUUGUCUGUGAAGAUGCGGACUACCUGCACCAGGACAGAAAGACCCUAUGAAGCUUUACUGUAACUUGAAAUUGAAAUUGGACUUUACUUGCGCAGUAUAGGUGGGAGGCGUUGAGAAUAUUCUUGCGGGAAUGUUGGAGCCAUCAGUGAGAUACCACUCUUGUAAUGUUAGAUUUCUAACUUUGUAUCAUUAUCUGGUCAAAGGACAGUUUCAGGCGGGCAGUUUGACUGGGGCGGUCGCCUCCCAAACGGUAACGGAGGCGCACAAAGGUUUCCUCUGAACGGGUAGAAAUCGUAUCUAGAGUGUAAAGGCAUAAGGAAGCUUGACUGUGAGACCUACAAGUCGAGCAGGGACGAAAGUCGGUCUUAGUGAUCUGACGGUGCUGAGUGGAAAGGCCGUCACUCAACGGAUAAAAGUUACUCUAGGAUAACAGGCUGAUCUCCCCCAAGAGUUCACAUCGACGGGGAGGUUUGGCACCUCGAUGUCGGCUCAUCGCAUCCUGGGGCGGUAGUACGUCCCAAGGGUUGGGCUGUUCGCCCAUGAAAGCGGUACGCGAGCUGGGUUCAGAACGUCGUGAGACAGUUCGGUCCAUAUCCGGUGUAGGCGUUAGAAUAUUGAGAGGAGCCUUCUUUAGUACGAGAGGACCGAGAAGGACAUACCUCUGGUGUACCAGUUAUCGUGCCAACGGUAAACGCUGGGUAGCUAUGUAUGGAGUGGAUAACCGCUGAAAGCAUCUAAGUGGGAAGCCCACCUCAAGAUAAG
RNAcentral lists this ribosomal RNA (1235 nucleotides) under metagenome. RNAcentral describes it as "bacterial LSU rRNA". It matches the Rfam family "Bacterial large subunit ribosomal RNA", at positions 1564 to 2808 of the family's 2925-position model. The record is from RNAcentral.